GAUGAACGCUGGCGGCGUGCCUAAUACAUGCAAGUCGAGCGAACAGACGAGGAGCUUGCUCCUCUGACGUUAGCGGCGGACGGGUGAGUAACACGUGGAUAACCUACCUAUAAGACUGGGAUAACUUCGGGAAACCGGAGCUAAUACCGGAUAAUAUAUUGAACCGCAUGGUUCAAUAGUGAAAGACGGUUUUGCUGUCACUUAUAGAUGGAUCCGCGCCGCAUUAGCUAGUUGGUAAGGUAACGGCUUACCAAGGCGACGAUGCGUAGCCGACCUGAGAGGGUGAUCGGCCACACUGGAACUGAGACACGGUCCAGACUCCUACGGGAGGCAGCAGUAAGGAAUCUUCCGCAAUGGGCGAAAGCUUGACGGAGCAACGCCGCGUGAGUGAUGAAGGUCUUCGGAUCGUAAAACUCUGUUAUUAGGGAAGAACAAAUGUGUAAGUAACUAUGCACGUCUUGACGGUACCUAAUCAGAAAGCCACGGCUAACUACGUG
This 497-nucleotide ribosomal RNA is filed under the name uncultured bacterium. RNAcentral's name for it is "partial 16S ribosomal RNA". It matches the Rfam family "Bacterial small subunit ribosomal RNA", at positions 28 to 507 of the family's 1533-position model. The record is from RNAcentral.